UACGAAGGGUGCAAGCGUUACUUGGAAUUACUGGGCGUAAAGCGUGCGUAGGUGGUGAGUUAAGUCUGUCGUGAAAGCCCCGGGCCUCAACCUGGGAAUGGCGAUGGAUACUGGCUCGCUAGAGUGCGGUAGAGGAGAGUGGAAUUCCCGGUGUAGCAGUGAAAUGCGUAGAGAUCGGGAGGAACAUCAGUUGCGAAGGCGGCUCUCUGGACCAGCACUGACACUGAGGCACGAAAGCGUGGGGAGCAAACAGG
This 254-nucleotide ribosomal RNA is filed under the name uncultured bacterium. RNAcentral describes it as "partial 16S ribosomal RNA". It matches the Rfam family "Bacterial small subunit ribosomal RNA", at positions 524 to 776 of the family's 1533-position model. The record is from RNAcentral.